CAGAAACAGGGAAGAAUCAUGAACUAUAACCAGAUAACAAGUGAUCCACGGGCUCACAGGAUUUAGAAGCUGAAGUAGUGGGGCCCGAAGCUGCUGGUGAUCUUGAUCUGAUUGCCUCAUCCACUGAUCUUGAUCUGGAGAUCUGAUGCCGUACAAAAAGACUGCACCUUGACUGUCUCUAUAACAGACAGCUCCCGAGCAAUGGGUGCUCAGACUAAUUUAAUUUUUUUAAAGACGCACAUGCCUAGGCUCUGAGAUAUGUAUCUGUUGGACAAUCAAAGGAGC
Molecule: long non-coding RNA, 285 nt
Organism: Dermochelys coriacea (leatherback sea turtle)
Lineage: Eukaryota; Metazoa; Chordata; Testudines; Dermochelyidae
Exons: 4
Source: RefSeq, a predicted model, not a curated record